RNAcentral lists this unclassified non-coding RNA (259 nucleotides) under uncultured fungus. RNAcentral describes it as "partial contains small subunit ribosomal RNA, internal transcribed spacer 1, and 5.8S ribosomal RNA". The stretch from base 1 to 73 matches the Rfam family "Eukaryotic small subunit ribosomal RNA", at positions 1759 to 1831 of the family's 1831-position model. Lineage: Eukaryota; Fungi. The record is from RNAcentral.
GCAAACUUGGUCAUUUAGAGGAAGUAAAAGUCGUAACAAGGUUUCCGUAGGUGAACCUGCGGAAGGAUCAUUAUCGAUUGAUAACAAUCAUCAUAAACCAUGUGUGCAGUUAUUGAGAAAUCGAAAAGAGGGGGAAGUUUUUCCCUCUUUUUUUUUUAUUCUUCACAUAAUUAUAUUUGUCGUUAUAAUAUUUUUAAAUAAAACAAAAAAAACUUUCAACAACGGAUCUCUUGGCUCUCGCAUCGAUGAAGAACGCAGC